GAUGAACGCUGGCGGCGUGCCUAAUACAUGCAAGUCGAGCGAACGGACGAGAAGCUUGCUUCUCUGAUGUUAGCGGCGGACGGGUGAGUAAAACGUGGAUAACCUACCUAUAAGACUGGGAUAACUUCGGGAAACCGGAGCUAAUACCUGAUAAUAUUUUGAACCGCAUGGUUCAAAAGUGAAAGACGGUCUUGCUGUCACUUAUAGAUGGAUCCGCGCUGCAUUAGCUAGUUGGUAAGGUAACGGCUUACCAAGGCAACGAUGCAUAGCCGACCUGAGAGGGUGAUCGGCCACACUGGAACUGAGACACGGUCCAGACUCCUACGGGAGGCAGCAGUAGGGAAUCUUCCGCAAUGGGCGAAAGCCUGACGGAGCAACGCCGCGUGAGUGAUGAAGGUCUUCGGAUCGUAAAACUCUGUUAUUAGGGAAGAACAUAUGUGUAAGUAACUGUGCACAUCUUGACGGUACCUAAUCAGAGAGCCACGGCUAACUACGUG
Molecule: ribosomal RNA, 497 nt
Filed under: uncultured bacterium
Lineage: Bacteria
Description: partial 16S ribosomal RNA
Rfam family: Bacterial small subunit ribosomal RNA
Source: RNAcentral